UGACGGUACCCUACUAGAAAGGAGCCGCUAACUUCGUGCCAGAAGCGUCGGUAAUACGGGGGCUCCAAGCGUUAUCCGGUGUUAUUGGGCGUAAAGAGUCGUGUAGGUGGUUGGGUAAGUUAUCUUUCAAAUAUCUUUGCUUAACAAAGAGGAGGGGGAUAAUACUGCUCGACUAGAAUUUUCUCAAGGGAGAUCGGAACUGAGGGAGGAGUAGUGAAAUGCGUUGAUACCCUCGGGAACACCAGUGGCGUAGGCGGAUCUCUGGGAGAAGAUUGACACUGAGACACGAAAGCUAGGGGAGCGAAGCAGAUUAGAGACCUGCGUAGUCCUAGCCGUAAACGCAUGCUUGCUAGCUGCAUGAAUCUACCUUCGGGUGGUAUCGUGUGGCGAAGGUAACCCGUUAAGCAAGCCGCCUGGAAAGUACGGCCGCAAGGCUGAAAUUCAAAGGAAUUGGCGGGGAGGCACACAACCAGUGGAACAUGUGGUUUAAUUCGAGACUAACCGAAGAACCUCACCAGGGUUUGACAUGUAGCUGCACGUCUUAAGAAAUUAAGACUCUCUUGAAGGUGCUACACAGGUGCUGCAUGGCUGUCGUCAGCUCGUUCCGUGAGGAGUGCCCUUAAGUGGGACAACGAGCGCAACCCCUAUUACAUGUUAGAAAUGUCAUGUAAGACUGCCUUGCCAUUUGGCGGGGAGGAAGGAGGGGCAGACGUCAAGUCCGCAUGGUCCUUAUGCCCUGGGCUACACACAUGUUACAAUGAGUACGGCAAUGAGUCUGUCGCGAGCACGUAAGUGUAAGCUAAUCUCUUAAAUGUACUCUCAGUGGGGAUUGAGGUCUGCAACUCGACCUCAUGAACACGGAAUUGGUAGUAAUCGCGGGUCAGCUAUACCGCGGUGAAUACGUUCUUGCCUCUUGCACACACCGCCCGUCAAACCAGCAAAGUCGAUUGUAUCCGAACCU
RNAcentral lists this ribosomal RNA (961 nucleotides) under uncultured organism. RNAcentral describes it as "bacterial SSU rRNA". It matches the Rfam family "Bacterial small subunit ribosomal RNA", at positions 470 to 1428 of the family's 1533-position model. The record is from RNAcentral.